Helianthus annuus (common sunflower) is the source of this 380-nucleotide long non-coding RNA. RefSeq lists it as uncharacterized. The transcript is spliced from 3 exons. Lineage: Eukaryota; Viridiplantae; Streptophyta; Magnoliopsida; Asterales; Asteraceae. The record is from RefSeq and is a predicted model, not a curated record.
AGGUAUCUUAUACGCUGCUGAAUUUCUAUAUUUAGGAGAAGUUUGCUAUCCAGGUUUAAAGGCAACAUGUUGGUUAUACCUCUAAGAAAUAUAAGGCCUAGCCAAAAAGCAGAGUCAAUUGAAAUCAGAGUCGUAAAAAAAUGGAUUGCAGUAAGUAAAUCGGGUGACCGUGAUGUCAAGAAGAGCGAUCUAUGUUACCAGUUUGUGGACAUCCAUGGUGACGGGAUAGAAGCUGUAGGAAAGGCUGGUCAGGUUGAGUACUUUGACUCCAUCAUAAGGUUACAGUCAUGUUACAAAGUAACCGGAUACGUUUGCACCAAGGCACGUGAUUUUAUGGCUACUGUCAACCAUUCUGCAUCGCUCAUCAUUGGUAAAAAGGC